This 783-nucleotide long non-coding RNA is filed under the name Homo sapiens (human). RNAcentral's name for it is "HSALNT0401914". Lineage: Eukaryota; Metazoa; Chordata; Mammalia; Primates; Hominidae. The record is from RNAcentral.
CAUAGGGUUUUUCUGAGGAUGACAAAGCACUGAAAGUCCCUAGCACAUGUGCUCACUGUUAAUGUCAUUAAGAACUACAGGAACUGGGCUGUCAAAUAAUUAAGGUCAUAAUCUUUAUUACAUGUGUCUUGGAGUUCUUUGCCCAAUUAGACAAACCUUCUUGAAAUUAUAGGCAUUGUUUUUUUGUCUUUGUUUUUGUUUCUCCUAAAGCAGAUGACACAGUGCUGUUUAUGUUGGCCAGCACCCAAUAAGCAAAUAAUGGGAAAUUGAUUAUUGAUUAUUUCCUCAUUCCCAAGUGAAAAGGAGAAAGGUAUCUCUAUUGGAGAUGAACGCAUGUUCAAUACACGUGGCCUGCCUGAGUCAUUAGCAAAGUGUCCAACAACUCUGAGGCGUAUCCUCAAAUGAAGCCUUGUCUCUGUGAAAUUCCUGAUAAAUCGUCAUUUUAUGGAAUGCCACAGGAAGAAGUUUUCUUUACAAGUUCUGAAGACUUGUGAUGAAUGAGUCCAUAGUUUCACCUUUGAAAAUGUCCCUGGGAGUGUCAACCCCAUCACUUUUACUUAUAUUACACUCAUAAUCAGUUCAUCUCGCCAAGAAAAAUAAUAUUAUCCUCAUGCCCAAACUUGUGACUUGAUUUGAAAACCAGUAAAUCAGAAAUAAAACUUCCCAUGUGUUUUUUUCCUACAUGAAUCCAAGUGACUCAGAUAUUGUGUUAUUCAAUAAGACUAUUACCAUGACUCAGGUAAAAGGGCCGUUUAUAUUUUCUGAAGUCUCAAGUCUAGGGUC